RNAcentral lists this ribosomal RNA (280 nucleotides) under uncultured bacterium. RNAcentral describes it as "partial 16S ribosomal RNA". It matches the Rfam family "Bacterial small subunit ribosomal RNA", at positions 506 to 784 of the family's 1533-position model. The record is from RNAcentral.
UGCCAGCAGCCGCGGUAAUACGGAGGGGGCAAGCGUUAUUCGGAUUCAUUGGGCGUAAAGGGCGUGUAGGCGGCCCGGUAUGUCUGGCGUGAAAUCUCCACUGCUCAACAGGGAGAAGCCGCUGGAAACUGCUGGGCUUGAGGACCGGAGAGGCCGGUGGAAUUCCAGGUGUAGCGGUGGAAUGCGUAGAUAUCUGGAAGAACACCAGUGGCGAAGGCGGCCGGCUGGACGGUUCCUGACGCUGAGGCGCGAAAGUGUGGGUAGCGAACAGGAUUAGAUA